AUGGAAGAAAACACAAACUCAGAAAAUAUGUCAAACGAACAUGUUGAAGAAAUGAUUGAACAAUCUUUAAAAUCAGGAGAUACAAAUGAGCAUCCUUAUUUUUUACAACAAAAUAAUAUUUACUGGGAAACAGGUCAUAGGACCUACAUCCCUUUUUUCCAUUUUUUAAUACACAAAUAUACUAAUAAAAUAAUAGACGACCAAAUAAGAAAAUUUACGCACAGUGUAAAAAGUGUUCACCACACCCCCUUUGUAUUUCAUAAAGAUGGUUAUUUUCGAAGCUACUAUGCAGACCCUGAUAUUAAUAUAGUUUUUAAUUUAAAAAAAAAUACAAACUUUGUUUUUAAUUCUACUGGUAAUAACAGUUCAUAUAAUAUGUUGACUAAUAAUUCCACAUAUGAUAAACCUACUUACAUAUUUAAUGAAAUUCUUAUGAGUGCAUUUAAAUUAGAUGUAAAAAACAUUCUAGAAAAUACCGUAUAAUCAAUAUACAAAGAAUAAGAACGCACAAAAAAAAAGUAUCUAUAUACGUACAUAUAUAUAUAUAUAUAUAUAUUACAGAUGUAUCUAUAUGUACAUAAUAUUAUAGAUGUAUCUAUAUAUGUUAAUAGAAUAGCUUUUUUUGGAAAAAAAUAUAUAAUAAUAUAUUUUAAUUAGGUACACAUUAUUGGACAAAAAAAAAAAAAAAAAAAAAAAAAAAAAAAAAAGGGAAUUAUAUAGUUAAUUAAAGGCAACUAAAUGAUUAAUUAAAUGUAAUUUAAAGAAUGUAAGAAAAGUAUUUAUUAUUAGAACAUUUGUUUAUAUUAGCGCAUAUGUAUGUAUCUAUAUAUGUGCACAUGUUUGAACAUAGACAUACUAUUUUUUUUUUUUUUUUUUUUUCAUUUUUUUUUUAUUAUUGUUUAUGAACAUAUUAUAUAUAAAUUUCCAAAACCUGUUGAAGUAGUUACAUUUGUAUUGACCUUUGAAAUAAUACCAUAUAUUAAGAAGAAAACGUGUAAAUAUACAUACACACAUAUAUAUAUAUAUAUAUAUAUAUAUAUAUCCUUGUUUUGUGCUUAAAUUAUAUUUAAGAAAACUAAACGCCUAUAUCAUACUCCUUUUUUAUUAAUUCAUUAUUUUUUUAGCAACUUUCUUUUGCUAUUUAUUUUUAUUGUU
Molecule: long non-coding RNA, 1155 nt
Filed under: Piliocolobus tephrosceles (Ugandan red Colobus)
Lineage: Eukaryota; Metazoa; Chordata; Mammalia; Primates; Cercopithecidae
Description: lncRNA (ENSPTEG00000018372.1)
Source: RNAcentral